This 410-nucleotide ribosomal RNA is filed under the name Aspergillus niger. RNAcentral's name for it is "eukaryotic LSU rRNA". The stretch from base 65 to 218 matches the Rfam family "5.8S ribosomal RNA". Lineage: Eukaryota; Fungi; Ascomycota; Eurotiomycetes; Eurotiales; Aspergillaceae. The record is from RNAcentral.
GAGACCCCAACACGAACACUGUCUGAAAGCGUGCAGUCUGAGUUGAUUGAAUGCAAUCAGUUAAAACUUUCAACAAUGGAUCUCUUGGUUCCGGCAUCGAUGAAGAACGCAGCGAAAUGCGAUAACUAAUGUGAAUUGCAGAAUUCAGUGAAUCAUCGAGUCUUUGAACGCACAUUGCGCCCCCUGGUAUUCCGGGGGGCAUGCCUGUCCGAGCGUCAUUGCUGCCCUCAAGCCCGGCUUGUGUGUUGGGUCGCCGUCCCCCUCUCCGGGGGGACGGGCCCGAAAGGCAGCGGCGGCACCGCGUCCGAUCCUCGAGCGUAUGGGGCUUUGUCACAUGCUCUGUAGGAUUGGCCGGCGCCUGCCGACGUUUUCCAACCAUUCUUUCCAGGUUGACCUCGGAUCAGGUAGGG